GUUGGUUUAGCUUAAUAGAGUGUGAAGUUGAAGGCUUUAAGGUUAAUAUCAAUA
Molecule: transfer RNA, 54 nt
Filed under: Macracanthorhynchus hirudinaceus (giant thorny-headed worm)
Lineage: Eukaryota; Metazoa; Acanthocephala; Archiacanthocephala; Oligacanthorhynchida; Oligacanthorhynchidae
Description: transfer RNA-Phe
Source: RNAcentral